UACAGAGACUGCAAGCGUUAUUCGGAUUCACUGGGCGUAAAGGGCGCGCAGGCGGUUGGGUGUGUCAGAUGUGAAAUCCCGAGGCUCAACCUCGGAACUGCGUCUGAAACUACUCGACUAGAGUACUGGAGAGGGUAACGGAAUUCACGGUGUAGCAGUGAAAUGCGUAGAUAUCGUGAGGAACACCAGAGGCGAAGGCGGUUACCUGGACAGUUACUGACGCUCAGGCACGAAAGCAUGGGGAGCAAAAGGG
This 253-nucleotide ribosomal RNA is filed under the name uncultured bacterium. RNAcentral describes it as "partial 16S ribosomal RNA". It matches the Rfam family "Bacterial small subunit ribosomal RNA", at positions 524 to 776 of the family's 1533-position model. The record is from RNAcentral.